Molecule: long non-coding RNA, 260 nt
Filed under: Gorilla gorilla (western gorilla)
Lineage: Eukaryota; Metazoa; Chordata; Mammalia; Primates; Hominidae
Description: long non-coding RNA NONGGOT009342
Source: RNAcentral
UCCCUAUAAAAUCCCUGGGAAGGCAUCAAGUUGGUUCUAAUGGGGUCAUGCUGUCAUUCUGCAAUGGACUGUGGUGGCCAGCAGAGAUGGGAUGUGCCAAUUGACCACUCCAGUGGCCACCCUUACCAUGUAGGCUUCGAGUGGGUGGAAGCUGGAUCCCUAGGGAGGAUGAGGCCCAGGCUUGAGUCCAGGCACCAACAAGAGCGCGUUCCCACCCUCCCGAAGGUCUGAUGUGGAGCAGAGGAAAAGAAUGGUCCUGA